This 285-nucleotide ribosomal RNA is filed under the name Triticum aestivum (bread wheat). Its description in RNAcentral is "partial small subunit ribosomal RNA". The record is from RNAcentral. Lineage: Eukaryota; Viridiplantae; Streptophyta; Magnoliopsida; Poales; Poaceae.
CUGAAGCUCGAUGCAAACUGCAAACACUGCAAGGCAAAAAAAAUUGUGUCUGAGACUGACGGCUUCUUCUGUCGCAAUGGCCAUAUCGAACUUAAACAACCUGAGCCAAUCCCAAAGCUGAUGAGGCUAUGGUCAAGCAUGGAUGCAGAUUCUAGACAUUUUCGGGAAAACAUACGCUUCUUCAACGGGCAUUUCGCCUUCACAACCCUUGGCGUCAGCCUUGAUGAGAACUACACAAACAUGAAGUCUGGGGUGUACACAUUCCGGGCACACGGCACCAUCUAC